Anneissia japonica is the source of this 1168-nucleotide long non-coding RNA. RefSeq lists it as uncharacterized. The record is from RefSeq and is a predicted model, not a curated record. The transcript is spliced from 2 exons. Lineage: Eukaryota; Metazoa; Echinodermata; Crinoidea; Comatulida; Comatulidae.
AAAUAUUUACAGGUUAAUAAAACCUUAAAAAGCUGCCAAAAUUGAAUUAAUAAUUACUGUACUUUUAAUACAUUAUACUGUCAUACCAUGUAAUCAAAUUAAUUGCAUAAUUUGUAUACUGUAUUCCAAUAAGUUAUGGUACAGGGCUCACUUUAAUAAAGACCUUUGAAUUAAAAAAGAACACUUUUCACUUUGCAUCCCAGAUGAACACCUAUAUUUUAUUUAUUUACUUAUUUAUUUCUGCUAAUUACAGUACAAACAAAAUUACAAAAUAGAAAACAAAGCAAGGAACCAAACAGGUGCUGGACAACCCAGAACAAUUACUAUCUACAACAGCAGCAUCUACAGGAAAGUUAUUAAAAAAAUAAUUAUUGAAAUAACUUAAUACAGUGUAGUUUAGUUUUAAAGAACUUGCUGAUAAAUUUACGAAUUUCACUGGGUAAAUUCUGGUAGCACAUGUAAUAAAAGAAUGAAAUGAGAAUCCUGUUCUGCAGCGAUGAGUACCAACAGAAGAACUACGGAUAUACUAUGGAUGAUAAAUAAAUGUGUUGUCAGAAUUAAUUACAUGGUAGAGUUGAAUAACGUGAAAAGUAAUAAUAAAAUAUCAGCAAAUUGUUGCCUAUAAUAAUGGGAGUAAAUUACAGUACUUAUUUGGAGUCAGCAUUUGCAAUCAAUAUCAAUAUUAUUUAUAAUAAAUUUAGUUGCUCUCCGCUGGACUUCCUCAAGUUGUUAUACAUGUAUAUGUUUUUUUAGCUUAUGAGACCAGAGAGUAGAGCAGUAAUCAAGAUAACUAUCAACACUGAAUAUUUUCAUUCAAAUAAAAUACUGUACAAUAAAGAGAUCGUUUUACAUAGACAUUGCAAUGAAAACUUUUAAUACACACUUUGCAAUAUCUUUUUAAAAGAGCAAAUCUGCUACAGGGUUAAUCCUAUUUGCCAAAAGUGGUCUUUCAUUUGAGAAAAGACCUGAAAUUGCAAACUGGAUCUGAAGGAAUCUUUUGUUAUUAAUAUACCUUACCAAACCCUACUCUUUCAUGGAAAAAAAUUUUCAUAAUAAUACUGUCACGAAUGCCAAUGAACAGUGAUAUCAUCACACUGAAGUUAUAUAACAAAUAAUCAUUGCGUCUUCUACUUCUUGGAUUGCAGGUUGCCAGGUGCUCGAUUGAAGC